UUUGGGAACUAUUCCCAAGUGGCCGGAAAGGCUUUCUAAAGUUCCUUCUAGAGCCAUUGUCAUGAAAAACGGGUUUGAAGCAGAUGCGAGGAGGUGGGCAAGACGAGUUGCUUAUUACAGGGAUUCUCUGAACUUGGAGUUGAAACCUCCAGCUGUCCGCAAUAUCAUGGACAUGAACGCACUCUUCGGAGGAUUUGCUGCAGCCCUUGCAUCUGAUCCUGUGUGGGUUAUGAAUGUCAUCCCAUCUCGGAAGCAAUUAACUCUUGACGUGAUUUAUGACAGAGGUCUCAUCGGUGUUUACCAUGAUUGGUUAGUCACUUUUGCUUUUUAUAUAUUUGGUCCAAACCAAGACGUGGCAUUGAGUAAUAAAACCCCUUUUAUAUUGGUUCGUGCAGGUGUGAACCCUUUUCAACGUAUCCCCGUACGUAUGAUUUCAUCCACCUAUCAGGAAUUGAAUCACUGACAAGCAAAUCCAGGUAUAACCAUUCUCAGUUGCUAAACAUGUCUCUCUGUUCUAUCAACUUCACCUAAACUGAAUUGUUUGAUAUGCAUACAGGUGUAGCCUAGUAGAUCUAAUGGUAGAGAUGGACAGAAUAUUGCGUCCAGAAGGAAAGGUACUGAUCCGAGACACUCCUGAGGUGCUAGACAAAGUAGCACGAAUGGCCCAUGCUGUAAGAUGGUCUUCUUCAAUACAUGACAAAGAACCUGAAUCUCAUGGAAGAGAGAAGAUCCUUGUCGCAACCAAACCUCUCUGGAGAAUGCCAUCAAACUCGCACUAAGGCCACACGUUAAAAAGGAAAAAAGGAAAAGAGAGGAAGAAGGUCUUCCCAGUCUUGUAGAUAACAGUCGCUUUCUCUCCAGCCCCCCCCCCAUCUGUCUGUCCUUAAGACACCAUCCUGAUGAUAUACCUUUUUUGUGUUCGGUGACGUUGCUUCCAGAAUGUAUCGCAAUCAUGUAAUGUCCUGAUAAUGUUAAUUCUUGGUCACACGUGGUUCUGUCAAUGAUUUUUAUCUGCGGGGUCUACCUUGUGACCUACAUGAGUAAAGUAUGCAUGUGACUCUUUUGUACUGGAGACCAUGUAUAUUAGGUGCACAUCCUUAAUACUUAUUUAUGUAUUGAAUACUGACAGUUCUAUGAUUCAAUGUUCAGUAAAAGAGAUUCAAUUGUUGUAGUUUGAUUGAUUUUGGGUGAGAGAAGAGCCUUCUCUUUUUCAGUACUUGACUUCAGGUGUGGAGACAUUUUUGUAAAAAAAAUCUGAGAGAGAGAGGGCGACUGAAGGACAUUAAUGCAGACAAAAGGUUUGGCUGGUAUCGUCUUCUUCUGAACCAUAUUUGUUACCUCAAUAAAUGAUCUUAUAUGAUGAUAUAACAUGUCGAUAGAAUUAGAUCAUUUUUGUCUGUUUGAAACGUAGCAUCGGAAGCACUAGAGGAUUCAGUUAGAUGUGAACCUUGGGCAUAUCAUGGUACUGUCUUCUAGAAAAGUCCUAUGUCUUUUGAUGUCCAUUAUCAUUGAUUCUAAAAGUCUUCUGGUUUGUUUCUGUGGUCAGUAAUGCCUAUAUACGACAUUCCUAAUAUGUUGUUAUGUUUGCAACAUAAUGUUAUAAUAGUCGCAGGCAUAUAGUUUCAUGUCCCUUGUAACCUGUUGAAAUAUCCACAUGGGUAUGGUCCGCAGUCUGGUCUCUUCGAUGUUAACAUUCACGUACACUAGUCAAGAGGAACCGUUUUGGUGAAAUAAAGGUUAUGUUAAAGUUGUACUUUAUAAUUUCCAUGGUUGAAGUAUAUGAUCAUGUUCUGCUAAUUGAAGCUGAGUUAAUUUUAUCCUUUAUAGUAAUUACCAAAUUAAACCCAACAAUGAAAAUGACGUUCUUCUCUAUAUCAUUACACAAAGUAAAAUAAUAUAACAAGACGUGUGUUAUACUAAUAGACAACAAUUGAUCAAAAAAAGUUUUGUAGUAAGUUGUGUUGCGUGCUUGUUGGUGGUGGUCGGUUAAUCUUUGGGAGCUGACAUUCCCAUGUGGUCCAAACCGAACCAAACCAAUAUGAUCCACCACAUUUUUUCCUUCCUUCAUAUUUGCUCCCAUGAUUUAAAUGUUUCUAAUUCUUAUUUUACUGAUCCAGACUUUCGGUUCAAUUAAUUCUGCCUUUGUAAACACUAAACAUUAAACACUUAUUUCCAUCAAAACAUUAAUCGCAGUUUUGUAUUUUUUUCUAACAUACCCAACAAGAGUUGUUGGUAUGCAUUCAACUGUAGCUAAUAGUGGAAUGUCUUUUCGGUUGACACAAGCUCGCUUCUUCAUGUCGUUACUUACAAAAGAAUAUAGAUUCUUUCACAACUCCAAGAUCCUAUAGCCUAUUUGAUUAUGAUCUAGGAGUUAGAUUAGAUGAACGGGCUUGUCAAUAAUGCACGAUAGAUUCAUAUUAAUAUGUGGGGUUUGCUUGACAACAGUCUUUUUAAUAAUUUUAUUGAGCAAAAAAGUCUAUAUUUUCGAGAAUUAAGAAAGAAAUGAGAGAGAGACUGCAGAAAAAACGCGCGUGAGGUAGAAAAGAUGUUAAAAAGUUGGCAAAGUCAACCGAGAGUUCUUCUGGGGAAAAGAGAGGUCUCGUGCAUUCGUAAGAGCAUCCACAAUGGUGAUACCCAUUGUGGAGUCCUUAGGAAUAAAAUAUUCUUUUUUUUUUUUUUUUGAAUAGUUAAGUACUCUUGUAAAAAAUGUGUGUACAAUGGUGAACCCGAAAUUGAAAUCCUUAGGAAUAAAAAAAUAUAUAUUUUAUUCUUGUUUAGUGAAAUAUAAUUUUUAUAUAUUGAAUGAUUAAAUAGAAUAACUUAACAUCAACUAUUAGAAAUAAACUUUAAAAAUAAUAAUUAAACAUAUAAAUAUAACAAUUAAAAAUAAAAACAAUAAAUAUAAAGAAAUCAAGAAACACAAAUUAAACAUAAAGAUACAUUAAUUAAACAUUAAGAUACAAUAAUUAAACAUAACAAGGAAUUUUUUAAAAAUACAAUAAUUAAACAUAAAGAUAGAAGGAUUUUUAAUCCUCGUCACCAAAUUUGUUCCAAAUAUGCUCGACUAAAUCAUUUUUCAGAUGGUCAUGUAUUCUCCUAUCUCGAACAUCAUUCCGACUGGGAAAAAUAUUAUUGAGAAUUGUAGGAAUCUCGGUUUCCACCUGUGAACUUCUCAUGACGUCACCUUCUUCAAAUUCAGAUAUAUCAUAACGAAUGUAUCCAUCCCGUUCAUCUUCGACUAUCAUGUUGUGUAGUAUGAUACACGCUCUCAUAAUCUUCCCUAUCUUUGCUUUGUCCAACGUAAGAGCCGGGUUUCUCACAAUCGCAAAUCGCGCUUGUAAUACUCCAAAAGCCCGCUCCACAUCUUUUCGGGUUGCUUCUUGAUGUUUAGCAAAUAACUCUUGUUUUGGUGAUUGAAGGAGUGAGAUGGAUUGGAUAAAGGUUGACCAUUUUGGAUAUUACAGGGAUUCUCUGAACUUGGAGUUGAAACCUCCAGCUGUCCGCAAUAUCAUGGACAUGAACGCACUCUUCGGAGGAUUUGCUGCAGCCCUUGCAUCUGAUCCUGUGUGGGUUAUGAAUGUCAUCCCAUCUCGGAAGCAAUUAACUCUUGACGUGAUUUAUGACAGAGGUCUCAUCGGU
RNAcentral lists this long non-coding RNA (3639 nucleotides) under Brassica rapa (field mustard). RNAcentral's name for it is "long non-coding RNA (BRAP_LNC006217)". Lineage: Eukaryota; Viridiplantae; Streptophyta; Magnoliopsida; Brassicales; Brassicaceae. The record is from RNAcentral.